AAUUAGCGGAGGUCUCUAGGAAAAG
RNAcentral lists this non-coding RNA (25 nucleotides) under Mus musculus (house mouse). Lineage: Eukaryota; Metazoa; Chordata; Mammalia; Rodentia; Muridae. The record is from RNAcentral.